This 82-nucleotide microRNA precursor is filed under the name Bombyx mori (domestic silkworm). RNAcentral describes it as "mir-2807 microRNA precursor family". It matches the Rfam family "mir-2807 microRNA precursor family". Lineage: Eukaryota; Metazoa; Arthropoda; Insecta; Lepidoptera; Bombycidae. The record is from Rfam by way of RNAcentral.
UUAACUUAAAUUUGUAUGCAGUUGGAACAGCGCCCCUAGCGGCAAACGUAGCCGAACGUUCCAACUCUACAAAUUUGAGUUA